GUAAGGAAUAUUGAUCAAUGGACGCAAGUCUGAACCAGCCAUGCCGCGUGGAGGAUGAAGGCCCUCUGGAUUGUAAACUUCUUUUAUCUGGGACGAAACACUUCUUUUCUAAGAGGCCUGACGGUACCAGAGGAAUAAGCACCGGCUAACUCCGUGCCAGCAGCCGCGGUAAUACGGAGGGUGCGAGCGUUAUCCGGAUUUACUGGGUUUAAAGGGUUCGUAGGUGGGCUUAUAAGUCAGUGGUGAAAUCUCCGAGCUUAACUUGGAAACUGCCGUUGAUACUAUAGGUCUUGAAUUAUCUGGAGGUAAGCGGAAUAUGUCAUGUAGCGGUGAAAUGCUUAGAUAUGACAUAGAACACCAAUUGCGAAGGCAGCUUACUACAUAUAAAUUGACGCUGAGGCACGAAAGCGUGGGGAUCAAACA
RNAcentral lists this ribosomal RNA (423 nucleotides) under uncultured bacterium. RNAcentral's name for it is "bacterial SSU rRNA". It matches the Rfam family "Bacterial small subunit ribosomal RNA", at positions 354 to 774 of the family's 1533-position model. The record is from RNAcentral.